Molecule: ribosomal RNA, 540 nt
Filed under: Triticum aestivum (bread wheat)
Lineage: Eukaryota; Viridiplantae; Streptophyta; Magnoliopsida; Poales; Poaceae
Description: partial small subunit ribosomal RNA
Source: RNAcentral
AUGCGGAUCCAAUCAAAUGGGGAGGCAGAUUUUGUUGCUUGGCAUUAUGAAAAGUCAGGGUUGUUCUCAGUUAGGAGUGCGUACAAGUUAGCGCUCACCCUUAAGGAUAACAAAGAGGAUGAGGGACAAUCCAGUGAGGCGGUAGGUACGGAGAGGAAAAUUUGGAAUAUUAUUUGGAAUGCAAACAUUCCUCAGAAGAUUCGUAUUUUUGCAUGGAGGGUUGCUUCCAAUAGCUUGGCCGUACAGGUUAAUAGAGUGGCGCAUCAUCAAGCCUCUGUUAGUACGUGUUCUAUUUGUGGCAUGGAGGAUGGAAAUACGUUCCAUGCGCUUGUCUUGUGCCCGAAGGCGCGUGCGCUUCGCAUGGCCAUGAGGAACAUUUGGGCUCUACCUGAUGAGGAGGUUUUCAGAUAUACGGGGUAUGAUUGGUUUAUUGUUCUCCUGAGUCAAUUAAACCCCGUAAUGCGAGACCAAAUUAUAUUCUUAUUCUGGAGGACCUGGCAUUUGAGAAAUGAUUUGAUCUUUGGUAAAGGAAAGAAAUCA